GAUCCUGGCUCAGGAUGAACGCUGGCGGCGUGCCUAACACAUGCAAGUCGAGCGACCUCUUCGGAGAGAGCGGCGGACGGGUGAGUAACGCGUGGGUAACCUGCCCUGUACACACGGAUAACAUACCGAAAGGUAUGCUAAUACGGGAUAAUAUAUAAGAGUCGCAUGACUUUUAUAUCAAAGAUUUUUCGGUACAGGAUGGACCCGCGUCUGAUUAGCUUGUUGGCGGGGUAACGGCCACAGGCG
This 246-nucleotide ribosomal RNA is filed under the name uncultured bacterium. RNAcentral's name for it is "partial 16S ribosomal RNA". It matches the Rfam family "Bacterial small subunit ribosomal RNA", at positions 15 to 275 of the family's 1533-position model. The record is from RNAcentral.